RNAcentral lists this ribosomal RNA (473 nucleotides) under uncultured bacterium. Its description in RNAcentral is "bacterial SSU rRNA". It matches the Rfam family "Bacterial small subunit ribosomal RNA", at positions 27 to 518 of the family's 1533-position model. The record is from RNAcentral.
GGACGAACGCUGGCGGCGUGCUUCAUACAUGCAAGUCGAACGAGAAGUUACCUUCGGGUAAUGGAAAGUAGGCGGACGGGUGAGUAAUGUGUAGAGAAUCUGCCCUAGAGUGGGGGACAACAGUUGGAAACGACUGCUAAUACCGCAUAUGAGCGUAGCUGGAAUGCUAUUCUUGAAAACUUCGGUGCUCUGGGAUGAGUCUGCAUCUGAUUAGCUAGUUGGCGGUGUAAUGGACCACCAAGGCGACGAUCAGUAGCUGGUUUGAGAGGAUGAUCAGCCACAAUGGGACUGAGACACGGCCCAUACUCCUACGGGAGGCAGCAGUAGGGAAUUUUGCGCAAUGGGCGAAAGCCUGACGCAAGCAACGCCGCGUGAUUGAAAAAAGCCCUUCGGGGUGUAAAGAUCUGUCAGUAGGGACGAAACUUGACGGUACCUACAGAGGAAGCAUCGGCUAACUCCGUGCCAGCAGCAGC